This 253-nucleotide ribosomal RNA is filed under the name uncultured prokaryote. RNAcentral's name for it is "partial 16S ribosomal RNA". It matches the Rfam family "Bacterial small subunit ribosomal RNA", at positions 525 to 777 of the family's 1533-position model. The record is from RNAcentral.
ACGUAGGGGGCAAGCGUUGUCCGGAUUUAUUGGGCGUAAAGAGCGUGUAGGCGGCCAGACAGGUCCGCUGUGAAAACUCGAGGCUCAACCUCGAGCUGUCGGUGGAAACCGUCUGGCUAGAGUCCGGAAGAGGAGAGUGGAAUUCCCGGUGUAGCGGUGAAAUGCGCAGAUAUCGGGAAGAACACCCGUGGCGAAGGCGGCUCUCUGGGACGGUACUGACGCUGAGACGCGAAAGCGUGGGGAGCGAACAGGA